GCGAUACCCGAAUGGGGAAACCCAGUGUGACUCGUCACACUAUCAUUAACUGAAUCCAUAGGUUAAUGAGGCGAACCGGGGGAACUGAAACAUCUAAGUACCCCGAGGAAAAGAAAUCAACCGAGAUUCCCCCAGUAGCGGCGAGCGAACGGGGAGGAGCCCAGAGCCUGAAUCAGCAUGUGUGUUAGUGGAAGCGUCUGGAAAGGCGCGCGAUACAGGGUGACAGCCCCGUACACAAAAGCGCAUGUGCUGUGAGCUCGAUGAGUAGGGCGGGACACGUGGUAUCCUGUCUGAAUAUGGGGGGACCAUCCUCCAAGGCUAAAUACUCCUGACUGACCGAUAGUGAACCAGUACCGUGAGGGAAAGGCGAAAAGAACCCCGGCGAGGGGAGUGAAAAAGAACCUGAAACCGUGUACGUACAAGCAGUGGGAGCCCCACCACCAAAGCAUUUGCUGUACCGCGUUGACGGAGCGAAGCGACGUCAAACCGAUAAAACAGCAGUGUAAAGUGAGCCGCAGGGCGCUUUGCGCGACAGCGCAAAGGCAGGCGGUUUCGCGUAGCGAAAGCGAAUGCUUUGGGGUGGGGUGACUGCGUACCUUUUGUAUAAUGGGUCAGCGACUUAUAUUCUGUAGCAAGGUUAACCGAAUAGGGGAGCCGGAGGGAAACCGAGUCUUAAUUGGGCGUUAAGUUGCAGGGUAUAGACCCGAAACCCGGUGAUCUAGCCAUGGGCAGGUUGAAGGUUGGGUAACACUAACUGGAGGACCGAACCGACUAAUGUUGAAAAAUUAGCGGAUGACCUGUGGCUGGGGGUGAAAGGCCAAUCAAACCGGGAGAUAGCUGGUUCUCCCCGAAAGCUAUUUAGGUAGCGCCUCGUGAAUUCAUCUCCGGGGGUAGAGCACUGUUUCGGCUAGGGGGCCAUCCCGGCUUACCAACCCGAUGCAAACUGCGAAUACCGGAGAAUGUUAUCACGGGAGACACACGGCGGGUGCUAACGUCCGUCGUGAAGAGGGAAACAACCCAGACCGCCAGCUAAGGUCCCAAAGUCAUGGUUAAGUGGGAAACGAUGUGGGAAGGCCCAGACAGCCAGGAUGUUGGCUUAGAAGCAGCCAUCAUUUAAAGAAAGCGUAAUAGCUCACUGGUCGAGUCGGCCUGCGCGGAAGAUGUAACGGGGCUAAACCAUGCACCGAAGCUGCGGCAGCGACACUGUGUGUUGUUGGGUAGGGGAGCGUUCUGUAAGCCUGUGAAGGUGUGUCGUGAGGCAUGCUGGAGGUAUCAGAAGUGCGAAUGCUGACAUAAGUAACGAUAAAGCGGGUGAAAAGCCCGCUCGCCGGAAGACCAAGGGUUCCUGUCCAACGUUAAUCGGGGCAGGGUGAGUCGACCCCUAAGGCGAGGCCGAAAGGCGUAGUCGAUGGGAAACGGGUUAAUAUUCCCGUACUUGGUGUUACUGCGAAGGGGGGACGGAGAAGGCUAUGUUGGCCGGG
Molecule: ribosomal RNA, 1481 nt
Filed under: Salmonella enterica
Lineage: Bacteria; Pseudomonadati; Pseudomonadota; Gammaproteobacteria; Enterobacterales; Enterobacteriaceae
Also listed under: 1 other name
Description: partial 23S ribosomal RNA
Rfam family: Bacterial large subunit ribosomal RNA
Source: RNAcentral